Molecule: ribosomal RNA, 258 nt
Filed under: uncultured organism
Description: partial 16S ribosomal RNA
Rfam family: Bacterial small subunit ribosomal RNA
Source: RNAcentral
GCGGGUGAGUAACGCGGAGACCUGCCCUUGUUGGGGAAAUUAGCUGGAAACGGCUGCUAAUACCCCAUAGGCUGAGGAGCAAAAGGAGGAAUCCGCCCAAGGAGGGGCUCGGUCUGAUUAGUUAGUUGGUGAGGCAAUGGCUUACCAAGGCGACGAUCAGUAGCUGGUCCGAGAGGAUGAUCAGCCACACUGGGACUGAGACACGGCCCAGACUCCUACGGGAGGCAGCAGUGGGGAAUUUUCCGCAAUGGGCGAAAG